RNAcentral lists this ribosomal RNA (452 nucleotides) under uncultured bacterium. RNAcentral describes it as "bacterial SSU rRNA". It matches the Rfam family "Bacterial small subunit ribosomal RNA", at positions 791 to 1240 of the family's 1533-position model. The record is from RNAcentral.
UAGUCCACGCUGUAAACGAUGAAUACUAGGUGUAGGGGGUAUCGACCCCCCUGUGCCGCAGCAAACGCACUAAGUAUUCCGCCUGGGGAGUACGACCGCAAGGUUGAAACUCAAAGGAAUUGACGGGACCUGCACAAGCAGCGGAGCAUGUGGUUUAAUUCGACGCAACGCGAAGAACCUUACCAGGACUUGACAUCCUCUGAAUCUUUCAGAAACGAGAGAGUGCCUUCGGGAGCAGAGAGACAGGUGGUGCAUGGUUGUCGUCAGCUCGUGUCGUGAGAUGUUGGGUUAAGUCCCGCAACGAGCGCAACCCUUAUGUUUAGUUACCAGCGGAUAAUGCCGGGGACUCUAGACAGACUGCCGGGGAUAACUCGGAGGAAGGUGGGGACGACGGUCAAAUCAUCAUGCUCCUUACGUCCUUGGGGCUACACACGUGCUACAAUGGUCGUUAC